GGAAUACGUGUAACACAACAGUUGGAAGAACGGAAACAGCCAUCUCCAUGGAAACAGAAAAAUGAAAUGACACGAACUGAGGGCUUUCUCAGAGUUCUCCAGUUUCCACCUGUUUUCUGAUGACAUGCAGUUAAAUGCGCUGGACCUGCUAAACGGUCCGUAAAGUGCAUGUUUGUGCCCUGAGAUUGAGGACUGAGUGGGCAUCCUCUGAAAAAUGAGUGGAAGUCAAUGGGAAGAAGGAGGGAUGGAAAAAUGGCAAAAAGGGAAAUUGGCUAAUGAAUUGUGAAGAAAAUGAAAAAUAUAUGCUCCACACUUCCAUGACCCUGCAUGGGAUGGAUGGAAGAAUGGAUGGAUGGGUGGAUGUUGCUCAUAUGCAGUGUACUAGCCGGACACAAUGCCUCAACACGGUCAGACUUAUUACUCCUUUUAUUUAGUAGUAGUGCUUAACCUUAGUUCUAUGUCUUAUGUUCUUUCUCUUAUGUUAAAUGGGACAGUGCUGACCCAUGCCUUAAAUCAGCCAUAAAUAAUUGUUUUGAGGGUAUUUUAUCAUCCAAUUUGUUUCUUACCUCUUGGUUACCUUGUUAGGCUUCCUUAUCCAUGAAAAAAAUGGAUUUAAUAUUUUUGGUGUGGCUUUCUGAACCUUUCUUUUGACAGUAUACCUCAAUGAAAAAAUGAUGGUAACAUAAACCUCCAGAGAAUUAUAUAAAUAAACUGAAUUGGUCUUAUCUUGCCUUGCAUGUCUGGGCAUGCCUUUCCCAGCGAAAGAAAAUUUGUUUUAAUUUAUUUUGUUUAAAUAGAGAUUCCUGACAAAGUCAAAAAGCCUUGAUGCAGUACACAAAUUUAUGUGGUGCUUUUAUGCAUCGUAAUCUUACAAACGGGUUGGUGCCGACCCCAACACCAGAGUGGUUAUCAUCAUAACCAGAGCAUUUAUAAUUUUGUGAUUAAAAUAUAUAUAUAUAUUUUUUUUUUGUUUAAAUAGAGGUUCCUGACAAAGUCAUAAAGCUUUGAUUCAGUACACAGAUCUAUGUGCUGUUUUUAUGCAUUUUAAACUUACAAACAGGUCAGUGCCGACCCAAACACGACAGCCAGGUUAACUGAAGUAUAGUGGACUGUAUGAUUUAAUAAAAAAAAAAAAAUAUGUAGAAUAUGAAGUACGUCUAUUUGAAACUUUGUGGCUUGUUUUUAACAUGUGUGUGGCAUUUUUGUAUGGUGUGUCUGCCAGCUAAUUUGGUCUUUGUGUGCUUGGAGGAGAGGUGGGUGAUGGAGAGCACUGAAGAUUUAUCAUACCAAGGUGGCACAGCGCAAGCAAAAUAUGGGUUUAAUAUUACAUGUGUAAAAUAUCAAAGUAGGUGUAAUUAUUGCUUUUAACUAUACGAAACAGGAAA
Brienomyrus brachyistius is the source of this 1385-nucleotide long non-coding RNA. RefSeq lists it as uncharacterized. The record is from RefSeq and is a predicted model, not a curated record. The transcript is spliced from 3 exons. NCBI's taxonomy places the organism in Eukaryota, Metazoa, Chordata, Actinopteri, Osteoglossiformes, Mormyridae.